Molecule: long non-coding RNA, 2053 nt
Organism: Cuculus canorus (common cuckoo)
Lineage: Eukaryota; Metazoa; Chordata; Aves; Cuculiformes; Cuculidae
Exons: 3
Source: RefSeq, a predicted model, not a curated record
CUUCUUUUUGAAAUUUGAAAAGAAUUAAGGGGGGGAAAGGGUGCUUUCAAAUCAAAACACCUGGAGAUGACUCAUUGUUCGUUGCUGUUCGGGAAAACUGCCGCUGCCAGCAUCAACAGGAAUUUGAAUAAGCACAACAGCUACAUCUGCUUCCAAAAUCAUUGUCGUGUUUCCACCAUGGUGACAGGGAAGCAGCAGGCACGAGACCAGCUCUCACGACCAUAUAUCUGAACGGAGCGAGGACAUAUUAUCAGCUCAGCUAGGAUCAUCACCCAGCAGUGCAAAGACACCAGCUGUAAAAGGCGCGCUCCAGCGACCAUCACACCUUUUGCCGCAACUUCCCUCCGUCAACCCACAGCCAAGCCUUUUCCACACGUACAUACAAUGUCACCUGCAAAUGGGUCACCAAACCCCUGACCCAGUCCCAGCAGCAGCCAGGCCUGCUCCACAUGACAGCCUGGCAUCCAGUCAGCCCGGCUUGGCAGUCGCAUCUGGCACCGGCUUCCUGAACAGCGAGCAGGCGGGGGAACAAAUAGCAGAUGGCUUUCCCUAUCUCCACAACAAUUUAAUCACAGCGGUCUUGACGACACUGACGUGCUCCAUGCCAUCUACAGCGCCUCACCAGCCACGCUGCAAGGUGAGCAAGCUGCUCUUUUCCAAGGGCAGCCCUUGCAACUGGCCAGGCUCAAGAAGUGUUUUGAGAGUCUGUAGCCAGGACACAAGCUAGAUUUAUUCAACUUAUUCACAGAAUCAUAGAAUCACCAGGUUGGAAAAGACCUCUUGGAUCAUCGAGUCCAACCAUUCUUAUCUGCCUUUAAACCAUGUCCCUGAGCACGCCCAUCUACCCGUCUUUUAAAUACCUCUAGGGAUGGUGACUCCACCACCUCCCUGAGCAGCCUCUGCCAGUGCCCAAUGACCCUUUCUGUGAAAAAUUGCUUCCUGAUAUCCAGUCUGAACCUCCUCUGGUGCAGCUUUAGGGCAUUCCCCUUGUCCUGUCCUCUGUCACCUGGGAGAAGAGCCCAGCUCCCUCCUCUCUACAACCUUCUCUCAGGUAGUUGUAGAGAGAAAUAAGGUCUCCCCUCAGCCUCCCCUUCUCGAAGCUAAAACAACACUUAUUCAAUGUGUCCCUGCCCAUGGCAGGGGGGGGAUGGAACUAGAUAAUCUUUAAGGUCCCUUCCAACCCGAAUUAUUUUAUGAUUCUAUGAACUUGAACUUCAAAAUGAGAACAGAGCGAGACAGAUCUGACAAGUUCAGGAAAAACGAAAAGCACUUUAGGAGAGUUGUGACACUGGAAGUCAGGAGCAUGGCAUGAGUGCCCAGCGCUGCACCAGGCUCCCCUGCAAAUGUAGGCAAGCUGACCUUACAGCUUGGCAAAUGCCUCAAACAGGGUUUCCCAAAAUAGAAACAAGCAAAAUUAUUUGCUACUUUGGAAAUGUAUGACUUUGUUUUCUUUUUCUAUGAACUGCAAAACCAGAUAAACGUGUCUUCACACUGUCCAAGGAAAUGUGACAGCUAUGUUAACAGGAGGCCCUCAGAUACUGAGAUGUUACCAGAAAGAGAUUUCAUUGACACAUGGACAUAAUCUCCGCUGCUGUCGUUAGUGCUGAUCUGUGUUUGUGUAACAUAACUAAAAAGCCAGUCUCCUCUGCAUUAAAGGGUACAUGGAGAUCUCUUUUUUACAUCUGAUAUGUGGACAAAUCCAAAGGAAGAGAGAGCUGGUACUCCUGGGCAAAGGUGGCAAUUGUUCUCCUAGUAAAGAACAGAAGCUAUGAAAUGUGGCGUGUUUUACCAGGCUCACUUUGAAUUAGGAAACAAACUCAAUAACGUUUAAAUUGGUCAAGUUUUGGGCUCCUUCGCAAGACAAAACUAAAAAGCCCAGAGCACCACAGUUAAUUUUAUUUUCCCUGAUGGGUAGAGCAAACAUCAGUUCUUUAGGUUACACUACAAACAAGGGUUCUUUAACGUAUCUAGGAACUUGUACACAUGGGUGCAGCAGCAGCAGUUAAACAAACCAGCCAGAAAUAUUUCCAAACACAACAGGGGAGCAGGUUGA